Long non-coding RNA from Cygnus olor (mute swan), 4001 nucleotides. RefSeq lists it as uncharacterized. NCBI's taxonomy places the organism in Eukaryota, Metazoa, Chordata, Aves, Anseriformes, Anatidae. The record is from RefSeq and is a predicted model, not a curated record. The transcript is spliced from 2 exons.
AAUCUGGGAAAGGAACUGUUUUCCUUUAGAAAAAGUCCCAUCCCAUUAAAAUGAAAACGCCUCACAGAGGCUUUGCUGAUCUACAGACCCAAACAAUCCUCUUGAAAAUAAGGGUUUACUUUUAAGACACUUUUCACACUUUGUGUUUUGUUGCCGCUUAAUGUUGAGCUGGAUUUUGAAAUUUCUGAAAUCCUACGCAAAACAAAAUGCCUGUCUUCUGUCUGUCUCCGGACGGCAGGAGGCUGUCUAUGCCGUGCGCGGUGGGAUGGGGAAGUUGUGGGCGUCUGAGGGAGUGGGUUUGCUGGAGGGACACAAGGCAAGGAGUUAAAUAAUCGUGGUGUAGUACUGUCUGCCUCGACAUGGGCUCCGUGUUCAGCCCAGGUCAGCAAGCCGUGUCUGCAGAUAAAGAGCUAUUCUGGUAAAGUGAGCUCACAGUGGAUGUGUAAAUGCAAUAAAACCUAAAAUUUGCAUAACGUAUACCCCAUGACCGAGUCUUCUCUCCCUAAGAAUCAAAGUUUCUAACCUGUUUUUGGAAAUGGUCUUCCUUAAAUCAAAAAAAUAAGACAAAGAUAGAAGUAAAUAAACAGGCCAGUCCAACAUGGAGGCCCUGGCAGCUCUGCCGUGGGGGAGCCUGGUGCUCAGCUGCAGAUGAUGACAGAGCUGAGGAGAGACACCACCCACCUGCUCACAGCCCCGGCCUGUUAAUCUGAAACUGCUGCAUCCCAGUCUUGGGCUGGUUUUUAAAUAGCAAGUCAAGAGGGAAGCCAUGCUUGUGUGGGGACUGAGGGAGCUGAGUUUGAGAUAGCGCACAGACGGAAAGGCUACUGGGACUGCAGCCCUCCUCUUCCCAUCACUCAGGUCUUGUGAAUAGCCCGUGUGUGUGUUUUGGCUUUAAAGGCUAUUUCAGGGAAAAACAACAACAAUGCAAGAAGGCUCCCACUGUAGCGUCUGUCUGAGACUGGCUGCUGGUGCUUUGGGGUUGUGUCGGCAUUUCCACCCAGGCUUCACUUGGUGCUUUCCCAGCAGUCUUGUUUUCACAGCUGCCCCAUGACCGGGCAGGAGCCCGUAAAUGAUUGUAGCCACAACUCUUGCAAGACCUCGUUGUUGGCAGAUCUGUUUUCUGCUGGAUCACUUUGGUGUUGUCUUGGUUGUUUCCCCAGGCAAGCCAAGAACCUAGGUAUGGAAGUGUGUGUGAAAAGGAGAUGAGCUAUUAGGAUAAUUAGCAUCGUCCAUGAAACCUCCACACUUUAGAUGCUUGUUACAUCAAAAGCAUUUAGGGUUGAAGUUACAUCUUUAAGCAUUUUAGUGAGUUUGAACACUUGACUCUGUAUCUCCAGCAUCUGCCUGGUUUAGGUGUCUUACAUCAUCUUUCUGGGAUCUGUUUCAGCAGCAGAGAAAAAAAAAAGUAUGUUAAAUAAAACCUAGGAAGGCUGAACUUACACACUCAGAUUAUUUUUUUUCAAGUGUUCUCUGCCUGAAACUAAUUAGCUCAUGCUAAUUAGCCCUAAGUGGUGAAUUGCUAGGGAGGCAGCUGUGGAUGCCAUCAGUCAGACACCAAAAUCUAGUUCCUGGUGAAAUGAGAGCCCAGGUGAGCCUCUCCAGUUGACACAAGUGUUGUUACUCUGAAGACUUGUCCUGGGUACCCCAGCUGGUUGAAACUGGAGAAAAAGCAGGAGAAGCUAUAUAUAUAUGAAGGCUUUGGGAAAAUAACUUUAAAGAGGAACAAAAACUCCAUCUUCCUGCUCGCUGCUGUCCCAUACAAAAAAGAAAAUCUCACCAUGGAACUCCUGAAUUACAGGAAUUCCUGGAGCCCCAGCAAACUUUGUCUAAUCUCUCCCAGUCCCUCACGUAUCGCCUCUGAAUGUUUUCAGUGAGUUCCCAGACCUCGUGCUUUCUUGCUCCUGAUAACUAGCCAUUGCUGGGAUGCCAGAACCACUGCAUUGCAUAGUUCAGCUAUCAACAGAAAUAUAGUGAGAUAAAGGGGAUGGUUAAUACCAGAGUGUCUGUGGUAAUGCAGAUGUCAGAGAUACUCAACUGGCUUUCCCGGACAAGUUCUUUAAAUGGGUCAAGUUACUUUGGGAAAAUAGUAUCUAGCUCUUUUGAAAGUGUGGACAUCCAUAAGAACAUCAUGCAGACAUUUCCUCCUGUUGAAGAGUCAGGCAUCCAUCAAAUAUAUCCAUAGUACUUCAGAGUCUUGGCAAAGUAAUACCACCUCGUCUGGGGCUUUCCGAAGAUAGCCUCCUGGGCACUGAGCGUGUUUGGAAAGCUCCGAGUUGCGACUGAAGAUGAAAAGCUGGCCUGAAUGCAGGGCAAUGAGUUCCUUUGAGAAUUAAGUCCAUAAAAAAAUGAAAUUUGAUAGAGGAGCUGAAGGAUUUAUUGAAAUGGAUGAGCAAUUGUAGGAUCACAGAUGCCAAAGAGGAAGAAUAGGGCUGUUGGGUCUUCCUGCCAGGUCAGGGCUGUCUAGUCCAGCAACUUGUUCAGUUGUUUCGAAUGAGGGUUUCCAUUGCUUCCCUUCUGAGACCAUUGUGUUUCCUGAUAGGAAAAAGUAGUAACAAUGAGAUCUAACUCCCAGGCUAAAUUUUUCUUCCAUCUAAUUGCCGGCUAAUGUUCUUAGUCAUUUUAAUGGGAAAUACAUACUCCAGAGAGAGAGAGAAGGGAUUUCUUGGGGGCCCUCAGAUGUUGUGCCAUUGGCAGUGGCGUUUUCACCAGUGUGAAAAUUUUUGCUUCUAGCUUUGGAAAUACCUUUAAGCUAUGGUGAACUCAUGAAUGAAAUGAGGGUUUAUCCGUCCUUCUGCGUCUCAUCGGUGGGAUGCUCUGGCUCUUUGUGCCCAAACAACCCUGUGUAAUGCACUACUGCGUGUGUCAGAGCAAAUGUGCUCUUGGCAUGUGGAAAGUGCAGGGUAGAACGUGAAUUUGAGCUAAAACUUCUGCAUUUGAGACGCAUGCCCACUGAGCAGGGGUGGCUUGAGCAUAUUUGGGAGUUUAUAGCUGCUACGGGCAUGGGUCCAUAGGGUGACUGGAGAUCCUCAUACUGGAGAAGCUCUGGAGAAGUGCAAAAUGAUAAUGGUUAUGCCAGCCCAGGACUUUAUCCAGGACUUUAUCUGGGACUCUUAUCCCUUUGCACUGAGCAGGGGAGGCAAAGGCCGGAAAGAGGAGACUGCAUUUACUCCUUCAUUCAUGGGGAUGCUGCACGUCACAGUUCAUAGAGGGGGGAUUGGUCUCAGCUGUGAAGGCAGCUGCCAGUCUGCUUCUUCUGACGGUUGUUUAAUGCUUGUUAAAGGAACUCACCCUUUAGUUUAGAUUCAGCAUUUCACUUGAUAGCUUUCUGUGCAGCCACCGGGGCUGGGAAAAGGGAGGGAAGAGGAAUCCCAAGAGCAGUAGCAAGACAGAGGAGAACAGCCAGGGAAGGGAAAAAAAUAUAAGGACAUUGUUUCUAACAGCACUUAGUGGCCUAGAUUUUCUUUUCACAGCUAUUUCAAAAGUCUGCUUUAUUGUAGAUCCAUUCAGCUUUUAUUGGUAUAUAGCACACUGGGUAGCAGCAGCCACUGUUGUCUGCACGGCUCUUAACAUGAUACUCUGCCAGAUGGCAAGAAUAUAAACCUGCGUUUGUACUCUGCGAUUGAUCAAAGUUUUUUGCUGUUGUCACCCCUGUAACAUUGUCACAGAUGUAAGGCUACUACACCCCGGCUCUCAUCCCCGCUACCUCCCUGUGUAUAAAUUCAGUACAGUGCCCCUUUUCAUAGCAAUAUAGUGCCCGCAUUCCUUAAAUCCCAAGGAUAACCCCGUGCAGGGGAGGAUGCACUGCAAGGUUUCGCCAGGAGGCUUUUAGAUGAGGUUUGUGCACAGGCGUGUGUAGGGAGUGAAGCUGGCUGGGGGGGGGGGGUGGACCUCCAGUAGAUGGAAAUCAGCAGCCCAGCUACGUAACUGCUCUGAGCUACUCCAGGGCAGAACCCAGCCUGGGAUCUCAGCAGGAAUCCCGAAAAGGAAAGGGAUUUGGGAGC